This 443-nucleotide ribosomal RNA is filed under the name uncultured bacterium. Its description in RNAcentral is "partial 16S ribosomal RNA". It matches the Rfam family "Bacterial small subunit ribosomal RNA", at positions 354 to 796 of the family's 1533-position model. The record is from RNAcentral.
GUGGGGAAUUUUGGACAAUGGGGGAAACCCUGAUCCAGCAACGCUGCGUGGAGGACGAAGGCCUAUUGGUCGUAAACUCCUUUUGCAGGGGACGAAUGUGCGGAGCAAUCCGUACUUGACGGUACUCUGCGAAUAAGCCACGGCUAACUAUGUGCCAGCAGCCGCGGUAAGACAUAGGUGGCAAGCGUUACUCGGAAUUACUAGGCGUAAAGCGCGUGUAGGCGGAUGCUUAAGUCUGUUGUUUAAUCUCCCGGCUCAACCGGGAAAGGUCAGCGGAUACUGGGCAUCUGGAGUGGGACAGAGGAAGCUGGAAUUCCCGGUGUAGCGGUGAAAUGCGUAGAUAUCGGGAAGAACACCGGCGGCGAAGGCGGGCUUCUGGGUCCUUACUGACGCUGAGACGCGAAAGCUAGGGGAGCAAACAGGAUUAGAAACCCCAGUAGUCC